UCCCUGGUGGCUCAGAGGGUAAAGCGUCUGCCUACAAUGCGGGAGACCCGGGUUCAAUCCCUGAAUUGGGAA
This 72-nucleotide transfer RNA is filed under the name Ovis aries (sheep). It matches the Rfam family "tRNA". From Rfam's summary of the family: Transfer RNA (tRNA) molecules are approximately 80 nucleotides in length. Their secondary structure includes four short double-helical elements and three loops (D, anti-codon, and T loops). Further hydrogen bonds mediate the characteristic L-shaped molecular structure. tRNAs have two regions of fundamental functional importance: the anti-codon, which is responsible for specific mRNA codon recognition, and the 3' end, to which the tRNAs corresponding amino acid is attached (by aminoacyl-tRNA synthetases). tRNAs cope with the degeneracy of the genetic code in two manners: having more than one tRNA (with a specific anti-codon) for a particular amino acid; and 'wobble' base-pairing, i.e. permitting non-standard base-pairing at the 3rd anti-codon position. Lineage: Eukaryota; Metazoa; Chordata; Mammalia; Artiodactyla; Bovidae. The record is from Rfam by way of RNAcentral.